CAGUAGGGAAUCUUCGGCAAUGGGGGCAACCCUGACCGAGCAACGCCGCGUGAGUGAAGAAGGUUUUCGGAUCGUAAAGCUCUGUUGUAAAGAGAAGAACGUGUGUGAGAGUGGAAAGUUCACACAGUGACGGUAACUUACCAGAAAGGGACGGCUAACUACGUGCCAA
This 169-nucleotide ribosomal RNA is filed under the name uncultured bacterium. Its description in RNAcentral is "partial 16S rRNA". It matches the Rfam family "Bacterial small subunit ribosomal RNA", at positions 352 to 511 of the family's 1533-position model. The record is from RNAcentral.